CAGCAGCUUAUACAGGAUAAAUGGAUCAGCAUCAACUCAGGACAAUGAGGUGAGUUUCUUGUUGCAUGUUCAGAAGACCAUGGACACCUCUAGAGACACCUGGGUUCUUUAUCAGAUCCAGUCAUGAAACUAAAAGCCUUCUGACUCCUGACUGCUGGUUUUAUAGCACUCUUAAUUAGUGAAUGCCCAGAGAGGCCACCUGUAGAUGGACUAGUGUCUUGACUAAAGGCAAAUCCUGGAUUCCGUCACACAUGGAAAUGACUACAUGAGCAAUCACUUUCUUCCAAAACUACAUGGCUCAAUAGAUGUGCGACAGCCAUGUUUUGUUUUUAUUCUUUUUAAAAUUCUUUAUUUUUCGUUGUGCAGAAUAGUCCAAAAAUGCCUGUAAUACCAUGACAGCAGAGGACAGGAAUUGC
Pelobates cultripes (western spadefoot toad) is the source of this 416-nucleotide non-coding RNA. Lineage: Eukaryota; Metazoa; Chordata; Amphibia; Anura; Pelobatidae. The record is from the annotation of a GenBank genome assembly.